This 1419-nucleotide ribosomal RNA is filed under the name Salmonella enterica. RNAcentral's name for it is "partial 23S ribosomal RNA". It matches the Rfam family "Bacterial large subunit ribosomal RNA", at positions 1532 to 2925 of the family's 2925-position model. The record is from RNAcentral. Lineage: Bacteria; Pseudomonadati; Pseudomonadota; Gammaproteobacteria; Enterobacterales; Enterobacteriaceae.
CCAGGUAAAUCCGGUUCACUUUAACACUGAGGCGUGAUGACGAGGCACUACGGUGCUGAAGCAACAAAUGCCCUGCUUCCAGGAAAAGCCUCUAAGCAUCAGGUAACAUCAAAUCGUACCCCAAACCGACACAGGUGGUCAGGUAGAGAAUACCAAGGCGCUUGAGAGAACUCGGGUGAAGGAACUAGGCAAAAUGGUGCCGUAACUUCGGGAGAAGGCACGCUGACACGUAGGUGAAGUGAUUUACUCAUGGAGCUGAAGUCAGUCGAAGAUACCAGCUGGCUGCAACUGUUUAUUAAAAACACAGCACUGUGCAAACACGAAAGUGGACGUAUACGGUGUGACGCCUGCCCGGUGCCGGAAGGUUAAUUGAUGGGGUCAGCGCAAGCGAAGCUCCUGAUCGAAGCCCCGGUAAACGGCGGCCGUAACUAUAACGGUCCUAAGGUAGCGAAAUUCCUUGUCGGGUAAGUUCCGACCUGCACGAAUGGCGUAAUGAUGGCCAGGCUGUCUCCACCCGAGACUCAGUGAAAUUGAACUCGCUGUGAAGAUGCAGUGUACCCGCGGCAAGACGGAAAGACCCCGUGAACCUUUACUAUAGCUUGACACUGAACAUUGAGCCUUGAUGUGUAGGAUAGGUGGGAGGCUUUGAAGUGUGGACGCCAGUCUGCAUGGAGCCGGCCUUGAAAUACCACCCUUUAAUGUUUGAUGUUCUAACGUGGACCCGUGAUCCGGGUUGCGGACAGUGUCUGGUGGGUAGUUUGACUGGGGCGGUCUCCUCCUAAAGAGUAACGGAGGAGCACGAAGGUUGGCUAAUCCUGGUCGGACAUCAGGAGGUUAGUGCAAUGGCAUAAGCCAGCUUGACUGCGAGCGUGACGGCGCGAGCAGGUGCGAAAGCAGGUCAUAGUGAUCCGGUGGUUCUGAAUGGAAGGGCCAUCGCUCAACGGAUAAAAGGUACUCCGGGGAUAACAGGCUGAUACCGCCCAAGAGUUCAUAUCGACGGCGGUGUUUGGCACCUCGAUGUCGGCUCAUCACAUCCUGGGGCUGAAGUAGGUCCCAAGGGUAUGGCUGUUCGCCAUUUAAAGUGGUACGCGAGCUGGGUUUAGAACGUCGUGAGACAGUUCGGUCCCUAUCUGCCGUGGGCGCUGGAGAACUGAGGGGGGCUGCUCCUAGUACGAGAGGACCGGAGUGGACGCAUCACUGGUGUUCGGGUUGUCAUGCCAAUGGCACUGCCCGGUAGCUAAAUGCGGAAGAGAUAAGUGCUGAAAGCAUCUAAGCACGAAACUUGCCCCGAGAUGAGUUCUCCCUGAGACUUUAGGUCUCCUGAAGGAACGUUGAAGACGACGACGUUGAUAGGCCGGGUGUGUAAGCGCAGCGAUGCGUUGAGCUAACCGGUACUAAUGAACCGUGAGGCUUAACCUU